Molecule: long non-coding RNA, 288 nt
Organism: Bufo gargarizans (Asiatic toad)
Lineage: Eukaryota; Metazoa; Chordata; Amphibia; Anura; Bufonidae
Exons: 3
Source: RefSeq, a predicted model, not a curated record
GGGGGCUCAAGUACAAACAGAGUCAUAAAUGACAGAACAGUAAACAGGUCAACAAUUAUAACCAGAGCAAUGAGGGCCCGGCUGGCAAGAGCUUACAAUCUAUGAGGAGAUGGUGUGACACAGAAGGUUUCUUAGGUACAGGACGCUCUUCUUUUAAAUACAAUGGUCCUUUCCAUCAAUGACCCACCAAGGAUGGAGAAGUACAGACACCACUUGGCUGCAAGGAUAUUAGACCUCACCCUGGAGAUAAUCUCCUUGAUAACUGGAGAGGAUUACACAGUAGUGAAG